UCCCGCCCUUCCAAAUCUGCCCCUUUUACAACUAACCCCUCAGAAGAAGAAGCUCCCAUUUCCAGGCCUUCCAUCUCCAAAACCCCACCCUCUCCAUCUCAGAUCCAACGGUCCAGAUUCCCCCAAAGGGAGGAAGAAGGAGGAGGAAGAAGACAUGCACAUCAAAGAGGUCUGCUUGGAGGGAUUCAAGUCCUACGCCACACGUACGGUGGUCCCGGGCUUCGAUCCCUACUUCAACGCCAUCACGGGAUUGAACGGCUCUGGUAAGUCCAACAUCCUCGAUUCCAUCUGCUUCGUCCUCGGCAUCACGAACUUGCAGCAGGUUCGUGCCGCAAAUCUCCAGGAGCUGGUCUACAAGCAGGGCCAGGCCGGCAUCACCAAAGCGACGGUCUCGAUCGUCUUCGACAAUUCCGAUCGGAACCGCAGCCCGCUUGGGUACGAAGAUUGCCAGGAGAUCACUGUAACCAGACAGAUUGUGGUUGGUGGAAGGAACAAGUACCUCAUCAAUGGGCACCUUGCUCAGCCAUCUCGAGUCCAGACUCUUUUUCAUUCUGUGCAGCUUAAUGUCAACAACCCACAUUUUCUCAUUAUGCAAGGGAGGAUCACAAAGGUUUUAAACAUGAAACCCCCUGAAAUCUUGUCCAUGCUCGAAGAGGCUGCUGGGACAAGAAUGUACGAAACAAAGAAAGAGGCGGCUUUGAAGACACUAGAGAAGAAACAGAGCAAGGUAGAUGAGAUUGACAAACUUCUUGAUCAGGAAAUACUUCCUGCCUUGGAGAAGCUGAGGAAAGAGAGGGUGCACUAUAUGCAGUGGGCCAAUGGUAACACAGAAUUAGAUCGACUUAGAAGGUUCUGCAUAGCUUAUGAGUAUGUUCAGGCAGAGAAGAUAAGAGAUAAUGCAGUUAGUGUAGUGGGACAAAUUAAGGCCAAUAUUUCCGAGCUUGAUGGUAAUACAGAAAGAAUGCAGGUGGAAAUACAGGAGAUGGAGACAAAGAUAUCAACCUUGACUGCUGAGAAAGAAGCAAAAUUGGGCGGGGAGGUAAAAACCUUGUCAGAGAAGGUAGAUUCACUUUCUCGUGAUCUUGUGAAAGAGACAUCCGUACUGAGUAAUCAAAAGGAGUCUCUGAGGGCUGAGAAAAAGGCUGCUGAAAAGAUUGUUAGAAGUAUCGAAGACAUAAAAAGGUCAAUUGGAGAGGGGGAUGCUGCUGUUAAAAAAGCUGAAGAUGGAGCAGCUGAUCUAAAAAAGAGAGUUGAAGAUCUUUCUAAGAACUUGAAAGAGUCUGAAAAAGAAUAUCAGGGUGUGUUGGCUGGUAAGAGCAGUGGGGAUGAGGAUAAAUGCCUUGAAGAUCAACUACGCGAUGCCAAGGCUGCUGUUGGGAAUGCUGAGACAGAAUUGAAACAAUUGGAAACAAAAAUAAGUCAUUCUGAGAAAGAGUUCAAAGAGAAAAAGGAACAGUUGAUUUCCAAACGUGAUGAAGCUGUUGCUGUGGAGAAUGAGCUUAAUGUUAGGAGGAAAGAUGUGGACAACGUUAAGGUGGCCCUUGAAUCUCUUGCAUAUGAAGAGGGCCGGAUGGAAACUUUGCAAAAGGAUCGGUUGGCGGAAUUAGAGCUGGUGCAGAAGUUCAAGGAUGAAGUUAGAGAUCUUUCAGCAGUGUUAGCAAAUGUUCAGUUCACAUAUCGUGAUCCUGUGAAGAAUUUCGACAAGUCAAAGGUGAAAGGUGUGGUUGCAAAGCUCAUUAAAGUCAAGGAUAGCUCAACAACAACUGCCUUGGAGGUUGCAGCUGGAAGAAAGCUAUAUAAUGUGGUUGUAGACACAGAAAAUACUGGAAAGCAACUUCUUCAAAAUGGCAAUCUUCAGAGAAGAGUGACUAUUAUACCUCUAAACAAGAUCCAAUCCCAUGCUGUUCCCAAAAGGAUUCAAGAUGCUGCUGGGCGAAUGGUUGGUGAGGAAAAUGCGAAAUUGGCACUUUCUUUGGUUGGGUAUGAUGAGGAUGUGAAGGCUGCAAUGGCUUAUGUGUUUGGAUCAACAUUUGUUUGUAGCGGUAUUGAUGUUGCAAAGGAGGUUGCCUUUAAUAGGGACAUCCGCACCCCUAGCGUAACUCUCGAAGGUGAUAUUUUUGAUCCAAGUGGCCUUCUAACUGGUGGUAGUCGCAAAGACGGUGGGAGAUUGUUAAAACAACUCCAUGAGUUGGCAGAGGCUGAGUCAAUGCUUUGCAUUCAUCAGAAGAGGUUGUCAGAAAUUGAGGAAAAGAUUGCACAGCUUCUACCUCUUCAAAAGAAGUUCAUGCAUCUUAAAUCACAGUUGGAACUUAAAGAAUAUGAUCUUUCUCUCUUUCAGGGUAGAGCUGAGCAAAACGAACACCAUAAGCUAGGUGAACUUGUCAAGAAGAUUGAGAAGGAGCUUAACGAAGCAAAGCUGGAAGCAAAAGAAAAGCGACUUCUGUAUAAAAACUGUGUAUCUACUGUUUCAUCUCUUGAAAAAUCUAUCAAAGAACAUGGUAAACAACGUGAGACCAGGCUCAAAGAUUUAGAUAAGAAGAUCAAGACAUUAAAAGACCAAAUGCAGUCAGCUUCAAAAGAUCUCAAGGGACAUGAAAAUGAAAGAGAGAGGCUCAUUAUGGAGAAGGAAGCAGUCAUUCAAGAGCAUGCUUCCCUGGAAAAUCAAUUGGUUUCUUUACAGACACAGAUAAAUAGCCUCACUGCAGAAGUAGAUAACCUUACAAGCAAGGUUAGUUCCAUAAAGAAGGAAUAUGAUCAAGCCCAAUCUGAGCUCAAUUUGAGUCGUUCAAAGAUGAAAGAAUGUGACGCUGAGAUUAGUGCCAUCGUCAAGGAGCAACAGAAGCUUCAACAUAAAAUUAGUGAUGCAAUUGUCGAGAGGAAAAAAUUGGAAAAUGAGAUUAAACGAAUGGAGAUGGAACAGAAAGAUUGCUCCCUGAAGGUAGAUAAACUACUAGAAAGGCAUAGUUGGAUUGCAGCUGAGAAACAAUUAUUUGGAAAAAGUGGGACAGAUUAUGACUUCUCAUCUCGUGAUCCUCAUAAAUCAAGGGAGGAGCUUGAGAAACUUCAAGCUGAACAAUCUGGCCUUGAGAAGCGGGUCAACAAAAAAGUUAUGGCAAUGUUCGAGAAAGCCGAAGAUGAAUACAAUGACUUAUUAUCCAAGAAAAACAUCAUUGAGAAUGAUAAGUCAAAAAUCAAGAAGGUAAUUGAAGAGCUUGAUGAAAAGAAGAAGGAAACACUAAAAGUUACUUGGGUUAAAGUGAACAAAGACUUUGGAUCCAUCUUUUCUACCCUUUUACCAGGCACAAUGGCUAAGCUUGAACCGCCUGAAGGAGGUAGUUUCUUAGAUGGUCUUGAGGUACGUGUUGCAUUUGGAAGUGUGUGGAAGCAGUCUUUGUCAGAGCUUAGUGGAGGGCAACGGUCUCUUCUUGCACUUUCUCUCAUUUUAGCUCUGCUUCUCUUCAAACCAGCACCUUUGUAUAUUCUAGAUGAGGUGGAUGCGGCUCUUGAUUUGAGCCAUACACAAAACAUAGGAAGAAUGAUCAAAACGCACUUUCCACAUUCCCAGUUCAUCGUGGUUUCUCUGAAAGAAGGGAUGUUCAACAAUGCCAAUGUCCUCUUCCGGACUAAAUUCGUUGAUGGGGUUUCCACAGUUCAGAGAACUGUUGCUUCGAGACAGAAAAAGUGAACCUCUCUAACAAUCAGUGGGCGGUUCUAACUGUUGACUAUUUUUCAUUUCCCCUGUCCAUCAAAUAUCGACCAAGAAGCAGAUUGGGUGAGCUCUUUGUCACCCCCCUUCAUUGCAGAAAUACAGACAGUUGUAUUUUCUCACCUUCUGUUAUCCAUGACAAGUAUUUUUGUAAUGUUCUGACGCAACAUAUGCUGUAUGUAUAAGUUGGGUUCUUCCCAACCGUUUUUGAUUUUUUUGUUUGCCCUUUUUUCUA
This is an RNA transcript of Magnolia sinica, 3941 nucleotides long. It is a transcript of the gene named structural maintenance of chromosomes protein 2-1-like, with no coding region annotated. The transcript is spliced from 22 exons. NCBI's taxonomy places the organism in Eukaryota, Viridiplantae, Streptophyta, Magnoliopsida, Magnoliales, Magnoliaceae. The record is from RefSeq and is a predicted model, not a curated record.